RNAcentral lists this ribosomal RNA (252 nucleotides) under uncultured bacterium. RNAcentral describes it as "partial 16S ribosomal RNA". It matches the Rfam family "Bacterial small subunit ribosomal RNA", at positions 15 to 263 of the family's 1533-position model. The record is from RNAcentral.
GAUCUGGCUCAGGAUGAACGCUAGCGACAGGCUUAACACAUGCAAGUCGAGGGGCAGCACGGUGUAGCGAUACACUGGUGGCGACCGGCGCACGGGUGAGUAACACGUGUGCAACCAACCCCGUACCGGGAGAUAACCCGCGGAAACGUGGACUAACAUCCCAUGAUACUCGAGAGCCGCAUGGCUCUCGAUUUAAAAUUCCGGUGGUACGGGACGGGCACGCGCGACAUUAGGUAGUUGGCGGGGUAACGG